GCUUGUCUCAAAGAUUAAGCCAUGCAUGUCUAAGUAUAAACGACUUUAUACUGUGAAACUACGAAUGGCUCAUUAUAUCAGUUAUAGUUUAUUUGAUGGUCCUUGCUACUUGGAUAACCGUAGUAAUUCUAGAGCUAAUACAUGCAUUAAACCCCGACUUCUGAAAGGGGUGUAUUUAUUAGAUGGAAAACAAUGCGGGGUUACCCGGAAUAUGGUGAUUCAUAAUAACUUUCGGAUAGAUUUAUCGAUGCAUCAUUCAAGUUUCUGCCCUAUCUGCUUUGGAUGGGAGGGUAUUGGCGUACCAUGGCUUUAACGGGUAACGGAGAAUUAGGGUUCGAUUCCGGAGAGGGAGCCUGAGAAAUGGCUACCACAUCCAAGGAAGGCAGCAGG
This 390-nucleotide ribosomal RNA is filed under the name uncultured Chrysophyceae. Its description in RNAcentral is "partial small subunit ribosomal RNA". It matches the Rfam family "Eukaryotic small subunit ribosomal RNA", at positions 30 to 432 of the family's 1831-position model. The record is from RNAcentral. Lineage: Eukaryota; Chrysophyceae.